GCUAAGGACUGUGUAACAACUCACCUGCCGAAUGAAUUAGCCCCGAAAAUUUUGAUGGCUCUCCAGCGUGCGACCGAUACUCAAACAUUGCAACGAAAGUCUGAUUGCAAUGAGUAGGAGGGCGUAGGCGUCUUGUCGAAGCUUUGAGCGUGAGCCUGAGUAGAAAGGCGUCUAGUGCAGAUCUUGGUGGUAGUAGCAAAUACUCAAAUGAGAACUUUGAGGACUGAAGUGGGGAAAGGUUCCAUGUGAACAGCAGUUGGACACGGGUUAGUCGAUCCUAAGCCAUAGGGAAACUCCGUUUUAAAGUGCGCACUUGUGCGUCGCCCGGCGAAAGGGAAGCCGGUUAACAUUCCGGCACCUGGAUGUGGAUUCUCCACGGCAACGUAACUGAAAGCGAAGACGACGGCGGGGGCCCUGGGAAGAGUUCUCUUUUCUUCUUAACGGCCCGUCACCCUGAAAUCGGUUUGUCCGGAGCUAGGGUUUAAUGGCCGGUAGAGUCCCACACCUUUGUGGGAUCCGGUGCGCCCCCGACGUCCCUUGAAAAUUCGCUGGAAGGAAUAGUUUUCACGCCAGGUCGUACUCAUAACCGCAGCAGGUCUCCAAGGUGAACAGCCUCUGGUCGAUGGAACAAUGUAGGCAAGGGAAGUCGGCAAAAUGGAUCCGUAACUUCGGGAUAAGGAUUGGCUCUGAGGAUAAUUUUCGUGUGGGGUGGUUCCGGCGAUGACGGCCGAGCCAGUUGUGGUCUGCUUGCUUCGGCCUGCGGAUCGCUUCUCAGCGAAGCCUGAUUCUGUUCGGACCGCCACUCUGCACAUGUUUAUGGCAACAUAAUCACAAAUCAACUCUGAACUGGAGCAGACUAGGGGAAUCCGACUGUUUAAUUAAAACAAAGUGUUGUGAUGGCCUCAGCAGGUGUUGACACAACUUGAUUUCUGCCCAGUGCUCUGAAUGUCAAACUGGAGAUAAUAUGAGAAGCACAAAUUCAAGCAAGCGCGGGUAAACGGCGGGAGUAACUAUGAC
RNAcentral lists this ribosomal RNA (1017 nucleotides) under Aurantiochytrium limacinum. RNAcentral describes it as "partial Eukaryotic large subunit ribosomal RNA". It matches the Rfam family "Eukaryotic large subunit ribosomal RNA", at positions 1270 to 2269 of the family's 3401-position model. The record is from RNAcentral. Lineage: Eukaryota; Bigyra; Thraustochytrida; Thraustochytriidae.